UUUAAAAAGAUAUUGUGUCAGCCAGGCGCAGGGUCUCACGCCUGUAAUCCCAGCACUUUGGGAGGCCAAGGCAGGCAGAUCACGAGGUCAGGAGUUUGAGAC
Long non-coding RNA from Nomascus leucogenys (northern white-cheeked gibbon), 102 nucleotides. RefSeq lists it as uncharacterized. The record is from RefSeq and is a predicted model, not a curated record. NCBI's taxonomy places the organism in Eukaryota, Metazoa, Chordata, Mammalia, Primates, Hylobatidae. The transcript has 3 exons.